Molecule: ribosomal RNA, 446 nt
Filed under: uncultured bacterium
Lineage: Bacteria
Description: partial 16S ribosomal RNA
Rfam family: Bacterial small subunit ribosomal RNA
Source: RNAcentral
CCUACGGGCGGCAGCAGUCGAGAAUCAUUCACAAUGGGGGAAACCCUGAUGGUGCGACGCCGCGUGGGGGAAUGAAGGUCUUCGGAUUGUAAACCCCUGUCAUGUGGGAGCAAAUUAAAAAGAUAGUACCACAAGAGGAAGAGACGGCUAACUCUGUGCCAGCAGCCGCGGUAAUACAGAGGUCUCAAGCGUUGUUCGGAAUCACUGGGCGUAAAGCGUGCGUAGGCUGUUUCGUAAGUCGUGGGUGAAAGGCGCGGGCUCAACCCGCGGACGGCAUAUGAUACUCGGAGACUAGAGUAAGAGAGGGGGAAGCGGAAUUCUCGGUGAAGCAGUGAAAUGCGUAGAUAUAGGGAGGAACACUCAAGGCGAAGGCGGGUUCCUGGACAUAUACUGACGCUGAGGGACGAAGGCCAGGGGAGCAAAAGGGAUUAGAUACCCCAGUAGUC